This 1500-nucleotide ribosomal RNA is filed under the name uncultured Treponema sp. RNAcentral's name for it is "bacterial SSU rRNA". It matches the Rfam family "Bacterial small subunit ribosomal RNA". Lineage: Bacteria; Pseudomonadati; Spirochaetota; Spirochaetia; Treponematales; Treponemataceae. The record is from RNAcentral.
UAGAGUUUGAUCCUGGCUCAGAACGAACGCUGGCGGCGCGUCUUAACCAUGCAAGUCGAGCGGGAUUGCGGUGCUUGCACCGCAUGAGAGCGGCGGACUGGUGAGUAACACGUGGGUGACGUACCCUCCGGACAUGAUGAUAGCCUUUAGAAAUAAGGGGUAAUACCAGAUACGAGCGCACGGAUCAGAAACGUGCGGUGAAAGGAGCCAAGGCUCCGCCGGAGGAUCGGCCCGCGGCCCAUUAGCUAGUCGGCGGGGUAACGGCCCACCGAGGCGAUGAUGGGUAUCCGGCCUGAGAGGGUGAACGGACACAUUGGGACUGAGAUACGGCCCAGACUCCUACGGGAGGCAGCAGGUAAGAAUAUUCCGCAAUGGGGGAAACCCUGACGGAGCGACGCCGCGUGGAUGAGGAAGGCCGGAAGGUUGUAAAAUCCUUUUACGGACGGCGAAGGAGGCCGGGAGGGAAUGCCCGGCCGGUGACGGUAGUCCGUGAAUAAGCACCGGCUAAUUACGUGCCAGCAGCCGCGGUAACACGUAAGGUGCGAGCGUUGUUCGGAAUCAUUGGGCGUAAAGGGCAUGUAGGCGGCCGAGCAAGCCGGGCGUGAAAGGCAGGGGCUCAACCCUUGGACUGCGCCCGGGAACUGCACGGCUAGAGUCACUGAAGCGCAGCCAGAAUUCCAGGUGUAGGGGUGAAAUCUGUAGAUAUCUGGAAGAAUACCAAUGGCGAAAGCAGGCUGCGGGCAGAUGACUGACGCUGAGGUGCGAAGGUGCGGGGAGCAAACAGGAUUAGAUACCCUGGUAGUCCGCACAGUCAACGAUGUACACCAGGUGUCUGUACAGGAGUAUGGGUGCCGGAGCGAACGCGAUAAGUGUACCGCCUGGGGAGUAUGCCCGCAAGGGUGAAACUCAAAGGAAUUGACGGGGGCCCGCACAAGCGGUGGAGCAUGUGGUUUAAUUCGAUGGUACGCGAGGAACCUUACCUGGGUUUGACAUACAGGGAGAUUGCAUGGAGACAUGCAAGGCCAGCAAUGGCUCCCUGAACAGGUGCUGCAUGGCUGUCGUCAGCUCGUGCCGUGAGGUGUUGGGUUAAGUCCCGCAACGAGCGCAACCCCUACUGCCAGUUACCAACAGGUAAAGCUGGGGACUCUGGCGGAACUGCCGGUGACAAACCGGAGGAAGGUGGGGACGACGUCAAGUCAUCAUGGCCCUUAUGUCCAGGGCUACACACGUGCUACAAUGGCAGGCACAGAGCGGGGCGAGGCCGAGAGGCGGAGCGGAACGCAGAAAAGCUGCCGUAGUUCGGAUCGGAGUCUGAAACCCGACUCCGUGAAGUUGGAAUCGCUAGUAAUCGCGCAUCAGCACGGCGCGGUGAAUACGUUCCCGGGCCUUGUACACACCGCCCGUCACACCAUCCGAGCAGGGGAUGCCCGAAGCCGGUGGUCCAGCCGCAAGGAGGACGCCGUCGAAGGUACGCCUGGUGAGGAGGGUGAAGUCGUAACA